Molecule: unclassified non-coding RNA, 341 nt
Filed under: soil metagenome
Description: partial contains 5.8S ribosomal RNA, internal transcribed spacer 2, and large subunit ribosomal RNA
Rfam family: 5.8S ribosomal RNA (bases 1-120)
Source: RNAcentral
GAUGAAGAACGUAGCGAAAUGCGAUAAGUAGUGUGAAUUGCAGAAUUCAGUGAAUCAUCGAAUCUUUGAACGCACAUUGCGCCCUUUGGUAUUCCAAAGGGCAUGCCUGUUCGAGCGUCAUUUGUACCCUCAAGCUUUGCUUGGUGUUGGGCGUCUUGUCUCUAGCUUUGCUGGAGACUCGCCUUAAAGUAAUUGGCAGCCGGCCUACUGGUUUCGGAGCGCAGCACAAGUCGCACUCUCUAUCAGCAAAGGUCUAGCAUCCAUUAAGCCUUUUUUUCAACUUUUGCCCUCGGAUCAGGUAGGGAUACCCGCUGAACUUAAGCAUAUCAAUAAGCGGAGGA